UGUAGAAAAUAAAGGGUGUAUAGCGGCCGCAAGAUACAGAGGGGAGAUUUGGACCCCUGCCCUUAAUCAACUUCACAGAACUCUGAUCUCACUAUCAGAGACCCUUUCCCCACUCGAUGAACUCGACCCCUUCUCUUUCUUUCAGUUCAAGAAGAACCGUCAUGUUUCGUCUAGAUUCAACUUUCAAACAGUGUCGUCAAGGGAAAGGAAAACACGCUCAGCAAAACCUAAUCAAAACGAUGGUGUUGUGCGAAACCUAAUUCAAACCACACUCAACCUUAUCAAAACAAAUGAUUCACGCAUGUUAUCAAACGACGCUUGUGUUGCUCACUGGGGAAAAAGAUUCACGUCGUCGUAUCACCGCUGCUGUAUUAUUGUGCGUCGUCUUGCUGUGUGACGCCUUCGUGGUAUUGCCGUUAUAAAACGAUGCUAUGUUGCUCUUGUUCAUAUUGUUGUGUUGAUGUGUUGCUCAGGUUGCUGCCGGCGCGAUUGAUAUCAAUGAAGAUGGUGAUGACGACGAUGUAAGUAACAAAUUUCAAGAGAACAACUUAAGUAAUGAGGAUGAAAUAGGUGAUGAACUAGAGGACGACAUAGGUGAUGAACUUCAAGAAGAUGACAUAAGUGAUGAAGAGGAUGAUGGAGAUGACGAUGAGUUCAAAAAAUUUAAAUGAGUUGGAUAUUGUUGUUUUAGGCUUCUACUUUAGCAUUAAACUUAAAGAAACUAUGUAUUUUGUCAAUUUGCUAGACUUAAACUUCUAAGUGUUA
Molecule: long non-coding RNA, 765 nt
Organism: Vicia villosa (hairy vetch)
Lineage: Eukaryota; Viridiplantae; Streptophyta; Magnoliopsida; Fabales; Fabaceae
Exons: 3
Source: RefSeq, a predicted model, not a curated record